AUCAAAAGAGGUUCAAAUAAAAUCCACCGCAAGAGAGACUCUCAUCAAAGUCUCACAAAAAACAUCCAAAAUAUUUAAAAUUUACAUUGAACCAUCUAGUACCAUAUCCUAAAAGUUAUGGUAUCUUAAUCACACACAAAAUUCUCCUAUAUCUUAUUUGGUAAACAAAUUGGAAUAUUUAUCCUAUUGGUUUAUCAUGUCAUAUUCUAAAGAUAGUGUAAAUUUUGCACCUCACCACCACCGUCAGAGACAGAAAUAGAAGAAGAUCAACAGAAGCUAUCACCUCCCUAUACUUUUAUAAACUUUUUAUUACUAGUAUGCUAUUAUAAUUGCUAUUAUAAUUGUUGUCUCUAUAUUUCUUUUUUGUGAAUUUUAUAUGAUAUUUAUAAUUUGUAAUAAGCCUUUUUUGACUCAAUAUAUUUGUUCUUAAAUAUCUUUUAACUAAAUAAAAUAUAAAACAAACAUUUAUUAAAAGAUAAAAUUGCUGAAAAAUUUACAUUAACUAUAAUAAUUAAUGAUUUAAACUCUAUGAAACAACAACAACCACACUUUAAAAAUAAAUGUUAAUUAUUUUUAUAUUUGUUUUUGACAAUAUUAAUUUUAGACAUAUCUUAUAAUUUGUUAAACUUUUUGUAUAUUUUAUAAAUCUAAAGUUAUUUUUCUUUAUUAAAUUAUACUUUUAAAUUUGAUCUCUUAUACUUAAUUUAUGGCCUCGUCCCUAACCACCACCACGUAUUCCACACGGCAUAGCAUAGCCAAUGAAUUCCUUCCACCAUCAACUUUCUCUUUACCAUUGCUGCAUCUACAAGACAUUUUUCACUACCACCACUAUUUAAACAAAAGGGUUAUUUGAAUUAUAUUUCAUUUGAAUGUAAUUUAUAUAUCAUUAUGAAAAAAACUUAAAUGCAUUUCUUAGAAAUUGACUCAUUUAAAGUGUAAAUUAAAUAAAGUAAAUAAAUUAAUAGUUGAUAUUAUCCACUUUAAUUUUUGCAGUGAAUUGUCCACUUUAAUGAAGAGUUGUUCACUUUAAAAAAGACUAAUCCAUUAUCAUAAUUUUUGUUCAUACUGUUCUUAGCAUAACCACCUGUGAUUUUUUUCAAAUCCAUACUUUUCUCGAAGUUUAUUAUAU
RNAcentral lists this long non-coding RNA (1129 nucleotides) under Cicer arietinum (chickpea). RNAcentral describes it as "long non-coding RNA (CARI_LNC000667)". The record is from RNAcentral. Lineage: Eukaryota; Viridiplantae; Streptophyta; Magnoliopsida; Fabales; Fabaceae.